Portunus trituberculatus (swimming crab) is the source of this 716-nucleotide long non-coding RNA. RefSeq lists it as uncharacterized. Lineage: Eukaryota; Metazoa; Arthropoda; Malacostraca; Decapoda; Portunidae. The record is from RefSeq and is a predicted model, not a curated record. The transcript has 2 exons.
AGAUGGUCCCGUAGCGCGUGCGUGUUGAUAAGAAGAGCAGUCUCGACUCACCUCACCCUUCGCUAAAGUGUCAGUGUAUGUCAGGACGUGGUAGGGAGGGGACGUUGCUCUCCCGCUGCCCGAGUGGAAUCAUUUAAGUCCCCCGCACAACCCUUCGAGGAGACGUGCGCCCGAUUAACUGAACCGUGACUGAAACAGGUGGAAAUAAUUAACGUGAAGUGCUCAGGAGGACAAAACGCUUCGCUCACUUGUAUAUCGUUAAUGGGAUGAAAAAUGCGGAAGGUUUGAACAUGGACAAAGUGUUACCGAGGACCAAGGGAUAAAAAGGACAAGCUGAACUGAACGAAAAGAAACGAACCGCCCACCUCCACGAAUGGCACGUUACUAAAUCCAAUGAAACAGCCCCAAGUGAACUAUCCUUAAUGAAACAUCUGAACUGAGCGAUGUAUUGUGGAAUGGUGCACCUGCUGAACGCUGCUUACUGGGAAAUUUGAUCAGAUGUUACCAGUUAAUUUCUAUGGCAUUACAAAACGUGGUGGAAUAAUCUUGCUGUGAGCGAUACUAAGUGAAAAAGAUUAGAGUGAAGUGAAGGAGGAACUGAAAAAUAUUGGGUGGAUAAAAUCAUAAACCAGCAGAACGAAAGAAGGAGAAAAAUUUAAACAAAGUGGAAAUCGAAAUGCAAAAAAUAAACAGAAGCCAGACGUGCGGAGAUAAAA